Molecule: ribosomal RNA, 30 nt
Filed under: Allelochaeta falcata
Lineage: Eukaryota; Fungi; Ascomycota; Sordariomycetes; Amphisphaeriales; Sporocadaceae
Description: partial 28S ribosomal RNA
Source: RNAcentral
GUUGACCUCGGAUCAGGUAGGAGUACCCGC